RNAcentral lists this ribosomal RNA (360 nucleotides) under uncultured bacterium. RNAcentral's name for it is "bacterial SSU rRNA". It matches the Rfam family "Bacterial small subunit ribosomal RNA", at positions 13 to 365 of the family's 1533-position model. The record is from RNAcentral.
UUGAUCAUGGCUCAGAGUGAACCGCUGGCGUGUAGGCCUAACACAUGCAAGUCGAACGGCAGCACAGGAGAGCUUGCUCUCUGGGUGGCGAGUGGCGGACGGGUGAGGAAUACAUCGGAAUCUACUCUGUCGUGGGGGAUAACGUAGGGAAACUUACGCUAAUACCGCAUACGACCUACGGGUGAAAGCAGGGGAUCUUCGGACCUUGCGCGAUUGAAUGAGCCGAUGUCGGAUUAGCUAGUUGGCGGGGUAAAGGCCCACCAAGGCGACGAUCCGUAGCUGGUCUGAGAGGAUGAUCAGCCACACUGGAACUGAGACACGGUCCAGACUCCUACGNGGAGGCAGCAGUGGCGGAAUAUU